GUGGUAGGUCAUCCCCUACUCUUAGGAUGGGGAUGGGAGGCAUUUCCAGCUCUGUAGGCAAGUGCCCUAACCACUAGGCUAUUUGGCUAGAAAUUGAAAAUGUUCUCCUCUGUUUUACUUUGGCCAGAACACAGGUAGGUGUUUUACUUUUGCCAUAGGUGGAAGUGGAAUCCAUACUGCAUAUAAAUGGGACUUUUGUAGCUAUGUACUUUUUAAACACUUAAAUGCAGAAAGGUGAAACAGGACAGCCCUUUAAGUCUUAAAUUCCUGAAUACUGAUUUAGGAGAAUACAUUAGCUUAUUUUCAUCAGUAAUUAUUAUCUGAUGAGGCGUUUUCAUAAGGUAUUAUCUGAUGAGGCCUUUUCAUAAGGUCAGUGCAUGACAGUGUCUUUUGUGGGUGGUAGGAGCAGAUUGCCACAAUAGAUUUAAAGUCCAAGAAAGCUGUGGCUUUACCCUACAACAAGGCUGUCCAACAGCAUGGGCCACAGAGGAUCUCCUCAAUUUUGCAGGCUGUGCCAGUGGCACAGCCCCCUUAUGCAGGCCCCACUGCAUGGUUGUGGGAGAAGGGCCUAUGGCCUUCAUUUUAAGUGCUCGUAGACUGCAUGCAGCCUGUGGUGUGCUGGUUGUACAGCCUUGUCUUAGAAUGAAAAGCUAUUAAUAUAGCCUUUGACUUAGCCUGGACACUAAAUUAAAAAAAAUAUUACAUUCAGACUCUAGCAGUGCUUCUCAGUGUUUAGCCUCAAGGCACCACUCAGAACAUGUCAGCUCUUUGUUUACGCUAAUUUUUUGUCAUGGAAAAAUAAUAGAGCAAUUUUUCUAUUGCAAAGACCUCAGGAAGACCACAGCAGAUCAGGAGGAUUUUAACAUUAGGAUGAUUUUAGGAUCCUUAAAUGAAAUCUCUGGGUUUAUCUUAUGAAUCAUGUUUGCAUACACCUAACAGUGCAAACAUUGGCAUCCUCCAGCAACCCCAAAAGAAUCGUGUGGCAUCCCAUGGUGCUGUGGCACCCUGGUUGAGAAUUACUGGACUAGAAACUGUUAGUUAACCCAGCAAUUACUAGUUAGAACCACUUUAAAUUAAAUAAUCACAUAUUAAAAAUCCAUUGCAGUUUUAGUAGCAGCCUAGUAUAAAAUGCAUGAGUAAGACAGUGAAUGCCAGUUACUACAGAGAAUCAACCAACAAGUUUUAUGCAGUGCACCUACAUUGAAUUUACACACUGGGAUGACUAUUUAAAAUAUAAUUAUACUACUCUAAUCUUGAGGGGGAGUCAAUAUUAUUGACAUUGACAUUUGUCAUAUUUUACAUGGCAAUUUAUAGUUCUGUAGUUUUGAAGCAUUCUGUAUGCUGUAAUUAAAAAGCAAACUGUUUUCUGUAUCAUACCACAUUGCAGUGUUUUCCUGUUAUUUCAAUGAAACAGUUCACUGUUCCCAGAUACAAAUAUAUAUUUUGAAGUGUCAGGUAUUGUUCAUUUUUCCCUGUUGCUGAUGCUACAUUAAAGAAUAAAAUAUGCUUAUUUGCAAUGCGCUUUUUUGUAAGAACACAAAGUAUACCUCAACCAAAAGUAAUUUUUAUUUUGUAGUAAAGGCUAAUCGGGGUUAAAUUGUUAUCUUCUCUACCAUUCUGAGCAAGAAGUAUACCAGUGUGGAUUAGUGUUUUUUGUUUUCUGUCAAAAGUUAUUAACACUUCUUGUCCUAUAUAUAUGGUUUUAAGCAGUGAUGGAGAAUGGUUACCCAGUACAGCAAUCACAUCUGGAAGUGAUUUGCUGAUGAUUAAAAGUUUAAGAUAAAAUUAAUUAAGAAAAAGAAUGGCCCUAAUUGUCUUGUACGCACUGCGAGAGAACAAACAACAAAAGUUCUGAAUAGCAAAUAUUUUAUCUCAUUAGGGAAGAAAAUAUGUAAACUCCUUACGAUGCUGCUUUGCCAUUUGGAUUCUGUGCACAGGUGCCUUGAAAAUAUACUGAGAAGGGGAAAAUAUCACAGUGUUAGGAUUUUACUUCGUUUUUUCCUCCUGUAAAAGUCAUAUAUUCAUUUAAAUCAGAACAGCUUUCUUAGCCCUGUCCACCUGCAAAGCUAAUGUAUGCAGGGAAAACUGAUGCUCUGAUCUAUUUGGCACUAAAAAGCCUGUUGUCAGUCAAAUAAUAGCAUCCACAGCAAAUUCUAGAUCAUUACUUUCCCCUCACGCACCUCUGUAAGAUGCAGAUUUUUAAGUAAAAUUAAUUAAAGUUUCAUGGGAACAGCUGACUAUUCUGCCUCCCAGGUAUAUGCCUUAACCAUGGAGCUGUAAAGCCACUUUCUCAUUUCUUGCCUCCAUUUCAGUGAAUAUGUAGUUAUAUAAUGCUAACUGGAACAACUGUAGCAGGAGAGAUUAUUAGCAAUUCACCCCAGCAAAUCAGAUAGUGUAGUGGGGAUACAGCACUUAUCUACAGGAAGUAGAGACCUGCUCUGAAUCAAGCAGAACAAAACUGGCCUCAGGCCUUUGACAUCAAUGUCCCAAUGACUAGAUUACUGAGUGUAAUAGGGAUCUCGUGUGUGUGUGUAUACCUUGCUCCUGGCACCACACACAGCUUUGGCACCUAGGUUUCCUGAGAAGUGCUUCUCUCCAAUAACCUUUCAGUAAGACUGAAGCCCUCCCCCCUCAGCUGGACUUCCUACCUGCUAGUUUUUGUUUGUUGAAUCAUGUUAGUAAUUACACAAAACCAAACCAAACAUCAUGAAGAAGAUAUUUAUUGAAUAUAGUACAUUAACAAUGAAUAGAUUGUUCAGCUAUUGAAACAUUAGGUUGUGUUCACCUGUAGCACCUUAAAAUUAUAAAUUUUACAAGGAAUGUGUACAAAAGUAAAACAAACUGUUAUGUAGCAAAGUGUGUAAAAAGUUUAGCAAACAAGUAUUAUAAAUGAAUGUUUCAUAAAAAUUAAUGUGCUGGUAUAUAUAGCUGUAAUCUCUGCUCAUGCUGUGCUAAACGGUCUGUAGUUAACGUAAACAGUUACUAUUACUUAUCAACUGUUACCUUUUUAGAACAAUAGCACCUUUAUUUUCAGAUUCAGGCCUGUAUUUUUAUGCAUCCUGCCUUAAAGUGCUUCUAAAAAGUUCUGUUCUGCUCUGUUUUAGUUAAGGAUUGUUUAGCUGCUGGUCACAUUUUUAAUGCUUUGUUUAAAAACAAAUUAUUACAUAAAAAGUCUUGUGUUGUAAAAUGGAUAUAAGACAUACCCAGAGAUGUGUUAGAGAAGGAAAUCAAUUCAGAGAAUAUGGGAAAGGUGACUUAGGUGAUCUUUGUGUGGAACCUGCAUAGUGCUUUUAUUUUUCAUAAAGAAGUGCAAAUUUUAACUAAGCCUCAGAAUCACCCUAUAUACUAGGUAAAUAAGUAUUACACUUUCUAUUUCACUGCUGGGGGAAAAUGACAGUAAGAGGUUAAGUGACUUGUUUAAGGUCAAAAAAGAAGUCUGCUUCAAAAUUAGAAUUAGAAUCAGGAGCUCUCAGUUUCAUUUGCCAUGUUUAAAACACUAGACCACGGUGCUCUCAAAUAUUACCUGUAUUAAUAUUUUCUCUUGCUUCCCUCUUAACUAAAUUCACUUUUAGCUGUCUGUUGUGAAAACAAAGAUGACUUAUGGGGCAAAGCCUAUGGAUGGUUUUAUGCUUGCUGUUUAGAAGGGAUAAUAAUCUGUGUGGAGUGAAUUUUAGCGUUGAUGGUUUUACAUUUCACAGUGCAGUAUAAUUAAAGAAUGAAUCUAUCUGCUACUUUACAGUAAAUUUCCAGUUAAAUUAAAGACAAAGUAUAAGUGGCAAGGCCUUACUGGUAUUUUUAAAUAGUGCAGUAACAUUAUAUAUUCAAGUAACAAGAAUGAGAUGACUUGGAGGGGUGUGGGGUGGGAAACAACAAUCAGGAAAAGUGGAAAAAUUGUCAGUAUGUAAUUCACUGGAUAUUUUAAAAAAGGUUGCUAUCAACUUCAAAAUCUCACUUCCACCUGUACCUUAAUAUGUAUUGUGUUACAAAUAAUACCCAGGACUAUUAAUGCUGAAGUAGUUCAGAUGGGGAAAAACUCACAUCUUUCCUGUUUUAUUACUUUUUUUAUUUGUAUUUUAAUCAUUUUCAGUGUUUCACUUGUAUUUAUUUUCCUGUGACUAUAGCAACUUCACUCCUGUGUGUUGCUUUGGAGAGCCCAUAUGCAUUUUUUCAGCAAAACUGGCUUACUAAGCAGGAACCAGAAGUAUGCACUUGAAAACAGUGAAGGAGAGGAAGAGUAGACACAAAUAUGUAGCCUUUGGACCUGUUCAAAAGACGGAUCUAAAAACUGCAGGGAGACAGGGACCAUAUUUUUACAAAUUAAAGAUAUUUGUUUUAAAGUAAUGAUUUGCAGUUUAAAGGAUAUUCUAUCAGAAUUUCACCGUGGGACCUUCGUACAGCAGUCCACUUCUGUGAAGCAGUUUGUAGUAUCAAAGCUCUGUGUAUGAAUGUGUGAGCAUGUUUGAAAAGAUCUUGGCAGGGAGUUUCACAUUUUUAGUUGUAAAUGCUGAGAUUAGAAUUAAAACCCCAUAAAGUGAGUAUGGGGAAACGUGAUGGUGAUCAGACAGUAUGCAUCACAGCGAAGGGGGCUGUACCCAAGAGGUACACCUACAAAAUGUACGCAGGUUCCAUUUUGCCUGAAAUGUUCUGUACCUGCAGGUACUGCAGCAGGUUUGGUUUGUG
This is a long non-coding RNA of Gavialis gangeticus (Gharial), 4680 nucleotides long. RefSeq lists it as uncharacterized. The record is from RefSeq and is a predicted model, not a curated record. NCBI's taxonomy places the organism in Eukaryota, Metazoa, Chordata, Crocodylia, Gavialidae. The transcript is spliced from 3 exons.